RNAcentral lists this small RNA (29 nucleotides) under Bombyx mori (domestic silkworm). Its description in RNAcentral is "ovarian small RNA-33157". The record is from RNAcentral. Lineage: Eukaryota; Metazoa; Arthropoda; Insecta; Lepidoptera; Bombycidae.
UGAUUGUUCGUCGAUGAAUCUUGGAAUGU